UACGGAGGGGGCUAGCGUUGCUCGGAAUUACUGGGCGUAAAGCGCACGUAGGCGGCUUUGUAAGUUAGAGGUGAAAGCCCGGGGCUCAACUCCGGAAUUGCCUUUAAGACUGCAUCGCUCGAAUUGUGGAGAGGUAAGUGGAAUUCCGAGUGUAGAGGUGAAAUUCGUAGAUAUUCGGAAGAACACCAGUGGCGAAGGCGACUUACUGGACACAUAUUGACGCUGAGGUGCGAAAGCGUGGGGAGCAAACAGG
RNAcentral lists this ribosomal RNA (253 nucleotides) under uncultured bacterium. Its description in RNAcentral is "partial 16S ribosomal RNA". It matches the Rfam family "Bacterial small subunit ribosomal RNA", at positions 524 to 776 of the family's 1533-position model. The record is from RNAcentral.